Long non-coding RNA from Anneissia japonica, 252 nucleotides. RefSeq lists it as uncharacterized. The record is from RefSeq and is a predicted model, not a curated record. The transcript is spliced from 4 exons. Lineage: Eukaryota; Metazoa; Echinodermata; Crinoidea; Comatulida; Comatulidae.
CAGAUGUAUGCUUUAAGGUGAGCGAGAGCUUAGCUUCUAAACCAGGAAGCAAUUCUGAAGACACUUACUGUAAAGAUGAAGUAAAAACCAAAGAUGCCUUUAAUAUUGGUGCAGUGUGCGCUCAAAAGAAACGAAAGCAUUCUGACCCCACUACUGGUACAGAGUUGAAACCAUGUGAACCAAGGUUGAUUGCACCGCACCUUCUAACUCGAAGCGACUACGAAUGUAGCCUUUGUUUUCGGCUGCUUCACA